UGGGGAAUUUUGGACAAUGGGCGCAAGCCUGAUCCAGCCAUGCCGCGUGCGGGAAGAAGGCCUUCGGGUUGUAAACCGCUUUUGUCAGGGAAGAAAUCUUCUGAGUUAAUACCUCGGGAGGAUGACGGUACCUGAAGAAUAAGCACCGGCUAACUACGUGCCAGCAGCCGCGGUAAUACGUAGGGUGCAAGCGUUAAUCGGAAUUACUGGGCGUAAAGCGUGCGCAGGCGGUUUUGUAAGACAGAGGUGAAAUCCCCGGGCUCAACCUGGGAACUGCCUUUGUGACUGCAAGGCUUGAGUGCGGCAGAGGGGGGAUGGAAUUCCGCGUGUAGCAGUGAAAUGCGUAGAUAUGCGGAGGAACACCGAUGGCGAAGGCAAUCCCCUGGGCCUGCACUGACGCUCAUGCACGAAAGCGUGGGGAGCAAACAGGAUUAGAUACCCUGGUAGUCCACGCCCUAAACGAUGUCAACUGGUUGUUGGGAAGGUUCCUUCUCAGUAACGUAGCUAACGCGUGAGGUUGACCGCCUGGGGAGUACGGCCGCAAGGUUGAAACUCAAAUGAAUUGACGGGGUCAUAGCUGUUU
This 583-nucleotide ribosomal RNA is filed under the name uncultured bacterium. RNAcentral describes it as "partial 16S ribosomal RNA". It matches the Rfam family "Bacterial small subunit ribosomal RNA", at positions 355 to 935 of the family's 1533-position model. The record is from RNAcentral.